Molecule: ribosomal RNA, 301 nt
Filed under: uncultured bacterium
Lineage: Bacteria
Description: partial 16S ribosomal RNA
Rfam family: Bacterial small subunit ribosomal RNA
Source: RNAcentral
CAGCCGCCACGGGAAUACGGAGGGGGCUAGCGUUGUUCGGAAUUACUGGGCGUAAAGCGCACGUAGGCGGCUUUGUAAGUUAGAGGUGAAAGCCUGGGGCUCAACUCCAGAAUUGCCUUUAAGACUGCAUCGCUUGAACGUCGGAGAGGUGAGUGGAAUUCCGAGUGUAGAGGUGAAAUUCGUAGAUAUUCGGAAGAACACCAGUGGCGAAGGCGGCUCACUGGACGACUGUUGACGCUGAGGUGCGAAAGCGUGGGGAGCAAACAGGAUUAGAUACCCGCGUAGUCCCUGUCUCUUAUAC